AUGGCACGCAUUGUCUUUGCCUGCCAGGGUGUUGGCUCUGCUACUUGGCCGGUUACAGCGAGUAGGAAGCUGAUAGGAUGGUAUUUCUCCUUCGUCGGCCAAGGAGUUCACACAUCUCUCGGUUCUCUGGGCAUGUCACCAUGGACAAGCAGAAGGAGGCUGGGCUCGUUGUGGAGCUUCUUGAGGCAGCAGGACGUCGGCGAGAGCAUCGCUGCUGGCAACGGCUCGAGUGACCUCUUGAGUAUUUUCUCCAUGAGCACUUGGGACGACACCAACUCCAACAUCAUGUUCUCAGCGCCCGACAGCAAGAAGGCCGAGGUGCUCAGCGACAGCGAUGUCGGCAUGGUCACCAGCUUCUGCAACAUCGACUCCCAGAUUCAGUUAGCCCUCUCGAGCUGGACAUGCCCAGCAUGGAUGACUACAUUCAGCUGCAGCAGGACUCCGCCGACUACAGAGUCCAUGCCAAGCGUGGCUGCACCACUGACCCGCAGAGCAUCGCUUGGGAGGGAAAGAACAACAAGGAUCAAUAAGAGGUUAAGGAGGUUGCAAAGACCUCAUUCCCUACAUGGACAAGGUCACAAGUUUAUUCUACCAUGGAUUCCCUCUGGCCAAUACACAUUCAGGAAAUAUGUGACCAACUUCCCCAAGGUCCCGCAUCGUCUACUCAGUUGA
Molecule: ribosomal RNA, 672 nt
Filed under: Triticum aestivum (bread wheat)
Lineage: Eukaryota; Viridiplantae; Streptophyta; Magnoliopsida; Poales; Poaceae
Description: partial small subunit ribosomal RNA
Source: RNAcentral